GACGAACGCUGGCGGCGUGCCUAAUACAUGCAAGUCGAACGAGAGCGACCGGUGCUUGCACUGGUCAAUCUAGUGGCGAACGGGUGAGUAACACGUGGGUAACCUGCCCAUCAGAGGGGGAUAACAUUCGGAAACGGAUGCUAAAACCGCAUAGGUCUUCGAACCGCAUGGUUUGAAGAGGAAAAGAGGCGCAAGCUUCUGCUGAUGGAUGGACCCGCGGUGCAUUAGCUAGUUGGUGAGGUAACGGCUCACCAAGGCCGUGAUGCAUAGCCGACCUGAGAGGGUGAUCGGCCACAUUGGGACUGAGACACGGCCCAAACUCCUACGGGAGGCAGCAGUAGGGAAUCUUCCGCAAUGGACGCAAGUCUGACGGAGCAACGCCGCGUGAGUGAAGAAGGUUUUCGGAUCGUAAAACUCUGUUGUUAGAGAAGAACAAGUGCUAGAGUAACUGUUAGCGCCUUGACGGUAUCUAACCAGA
RNAcentral lists this ribosomal RNA (478 nucleotides) under Granulicatella adiacens. RNAcentral describes it as "bacterial SSU rRNA". It matches the Rfam family "Bacterial small subunit ribosomal RNA", at positions 28 to 487 of the family's 1533-position model. Lineage: Bacteria; Bacillati; Bacillota; Bacilli; Lactobacillales; Carnobacteriaceae. The record is from RNAcentral.